Olea europaea var. sylvestris is the source of this 274-nucleotide long non-coding RNA. RefSeq lists it as uncharacterized. Lineage: Eukaryota; Viridiplantae; Streptophyta; Magnoliopsida; Lamiales; Oleaceae. The transcript has 3 exons. The record is from RefSeq and is a predicted model, not a curated record.
CCCACAUAGAAAUAGGCUUCACCCGAAGACUUUAGAAGCUUUAAUGUGUGCUCGAGAUUGGCUUUGGUCUGAUAUUCAUGAAAAUUCUGGUCCUUCAUCAUAUUCCGGAGCUUGUGCAAAGUUUGAUGACGAGGAUGUUGACGAAGAGGAAUCGACUUUGAGUUUUGACGGAUGCCAGUAAGAGUUGUGGAGAAGAAUGAAGAUUGAAUAUGAAUUGAAGUUGAAGCUUUUUGAGUUAUUGAAUAUUGUUUGUUAAAUUUGGAUUUUGCGUUUG